AACGCGUCCGCGCUGGAAUCAUCACCGUCACCACCGUUCAACGCCACCGCCCGCCACCGAACAUCAUAUUUUACAAUGUGCACCUUCGAUUCAAUUAUUAGUGAAUUUAAUGGAUUGCUACAGGUUUUCAACGCAUGCUGCACAACUAUUGCAUACCUAUUCAGUAUUAUUGCACUUACGAUUCCUACUUAGCUAUACCUACUCGGUUUCAGUAGUCAAACAUUUCGUUAUGGAGCUAAAUGUUAGCCAGUAACGGCUAAUAUAGAUUUGUCGAAUGAACGAGUUAGAGAAUCCAGCAGAACACCGCGGAAUACCUAUAGAUACACAGAUGUAUAACAAUAUUGCAGUGUUAUGAUAUCACUAUUCUUCAUUUAACUGGUACAGAGCCGCAGAGGUCUGUUAUAUAUAGUUUUUGAUGGCUGACUACUUUGUUAAAUUAAUUUUUUUUUACGUUUGAACUGUUACGCUUCCGACAUAUUUGCAUAAAACAAUGGAAUUAUUAAAACUAAAUUGAAACCUAGCUGUGAACAUUAUACACAUUUAAACGGUCUUCUCUCGGAUAUUAUAUAGGUAUACACACGACGACGACAAACUAAAUACGUUUUACUCGCGGAUCUUCUCCGUCUUGCAGCGUGCGCUCUCGAAACGUGAAUAAACGUAUAUGUGUAUUAUACGCGUGUCCGUAGGUACAUAAUAUACGUUUAUUUUGUUUUUUAAACAUCGACUAUGUUAUGCAUCUAUGUACGAGUAUACAGAGCGUACUUGCAACGGCCUACGCGCAUACGACUUGGGAAAAUACUGCAGCAGCUCAGAUUACAAUCGCACGGGCCAAACACUCCACGYUGGGGAUACAUUUAAAUGAACACACUCGACAACAUCAACUGAACUAAACGAUAUUAAUUAUAAUGGGAAAUACAAUAUCGGAUAUGCGCACACGAAUCAAAAAAAAAAAAAUAUAAAUAAUAAAUAUACAUCCUAUAUAGCUACAUUAUGUGAUAUGUGUUUAAUAUACCUACUUUAAUUUUUACACCAAACGAUUUGUUG
Diuraphis noxia (Russian wheat aphid) is the source of this 1044-nucleotide long non-coding RNA. RefSeq lists it as uncharacterized. Lineage: Eukaryota; Metazoa; Arthropoda; Insecta; Hemiptera; Aphididae. The record is from RefSeq and is a predicted model, not a curated record.